GCAGCUGGGAGUGACCACCGCUUGAUUGUCCAGCCCGGCACUUCCCAUUCAGGCCACCUGCUUUGGGGUGAAAGUCCCUUGUGCCUGCAGCACUGCUAGGAUACUGUGGGCCAGAGCUCCAGGACCGGGUGGCCCCACUCGUCUCUAGGACUCUGCCCACCCAGAGACUGAGAGGACAGAAGCCAACACCCAGCGAGCUUACAGGUCGGUUUCCAGGCACCCCCCACAGACCUGCAAACAUCCCCUCCUGGAGGGCAAAGCCAGGGACGGCAGAAUUGUCUGAGCAACGAGUCUGUGAAAUUUUUGGCAACUGGAACUGCUUCACUUGAACCCAGGAGCAUUUAAAGCUUUAUUUAUUUAUAGCUUCUUAUUAAAAAAGUGUUGAGAAGAAAUCUUGGGUCAUUCAUACAAAAAAAAUGAGUUGAUGAUGGAAAAGCAAGUCAUAAUCAUCCAAUUGUUUCUGUCUAGGUCGAGAAUGAAUGUUAGCAGAUGAAAUAAACCCUGAAAAGGAC
Molecule: long non-coding RNA, 512 nt
Organism: Galeopterus variegatus (Sunda flying lemur)
Lineage: Eukaryota; Metazoa; Chordata; Mammalia; Dermoptera; Cynocephalidae
Exons: 2
Source: RefSeq, a predicted model, not a curated record